This 445-nucleotide ribosomal RNA is filed under the name uncultured bacterium. RNAcentral describes it as "partial 16S ribosomal RNA". It matches the Rfam family "Bacterial small subunit ribosomal RNA", at positions 354 to 796 of the family's 1533-position model. The record is from RNAcentral.
GUGAGGAAUAUUGGUCAAUGGGCGGGAGCCUGAACCAGCCAAGUCGCGUGAAGGAAGAAGGAUCUAUGGUUCGUAAACUUCUUUUGCAGGGGAAUAAAGUGCAGGACGUGUCCUGUUUUGUAUGUACCCUGAGAAUAAGGAUCGGCUAACUCCGUGCCAGCAGCCGCGGUAAUACGGAGGAUCCGAGCGUUAUCCGGAUGUAUUGGGUUUAAAGGGUGCGUAGGUGGUUUGAUAAGUCAGCGGUGAAAGUUUGCAGCUUAACUGUAAAAAUGCCGUUGAAACUGUCGGACUUGAGUGUAAAUGAGGUAGGCGGAAUGCGUGGUGUAGCGGUGAAAUGCAUAGAUAUCACGCAGAACUCCGAUUGCGAAGGCAGCUUACUAAGCUACAACUGACACUGAAGCACGAAAGCGUGGGGAUCAAACAGGAUUAGAAACCCCGGUAGUCC